Molecule: long non-coding RNA, 428 nt
Filed under: Homo sapiens (human)
Lineage: Eukaryota; Metazoa; Chordata; Mammalia; Primates; Hominidae
Description: HSALNT0353242
Source: RNAcentral
UCCAGUGUGAAGUUGGAAUUCCUUCUCUACAUUAUUCCUAAAUCAUCCCUAGUGUAUCGUGUAAUUCAGAUGUGUAUCAGGCAAUCCUUUGAGUAAAUGAGAACAGGAAAGGGCAGAGGAAAAGUAGUGUAGGUCAUUGAGGGAGGGUACAAAGUUGUUCUCCACACAUUCAGAGACUCAGCCUCUUGCCAUCCUUUGAUGCCACCAUCUUCAACACGUGACCUCCAAGUUUUCUCUGGAACAGGAAGAGCGAACAGAAGAUUAAAUGUGAGAGAUUUUAUGGCCAAGGGGUGGCACAUCAUCACUUCUGUCCACUUUCCCUUGUUCAGAACUCAACCACAAGAUGCCAAGCUAUUUGCUGAGGAUCUGGACAUUUAGCUGUGUGUCCAGUGAGGAAGAAAACUGGGUUUGGUGAACACAUACCAUUG